UAAUUUCUGGGGUGUGCGAUACCUGUCUUAUAUUUUGGACCUACACAUUUCUUAUGGAUUCCGGGCAGGUCUUCAACAUGCAAGGCCGCACCGCACUGCGGAGAGGAUUUCCAAACAGCGGACUGCAGACGGAAGAACGAUGGUUUCCACCUUGGCGCUUUUUGGGUGCCAAAAUUUUGAUGCGGCACUCCGGAGAUUUA
RNAcentral lists this non-coding RNA (200 nucleotides) under Clostridia bacterium. RNAcentral's name for it is "6S RNA". It matches the Rfam family "6S / SsrS RNA". Rfam says of the family: E. coli 6S RNA was the first non coding RNA to be sequenced, but its function was unknown until recently. The record is from RNAcentral. Lineage: Bacteria; Bacillati; Bacillota; Clostridia.